UAUAUCUUGGUGUAUGAUGCACGGCGGCCUUUGAUGCUGGCGGUGACAGUUUAAUUCUGUUAGAUAUAA
RNAcentral lists this transfer RNA (69 nucleotides) under Ateuchotermes sp. C TB-2017. Its description in RNAcentral is "tRNA-Gln". It matches the Rfam family "tRNA". From Rfam's summary of the family: Transfer RNA (tRNA) molecules are approximately 80 nucleotides in length. Their secondary structure includes four short double-helical elements and three loops (D, anti-codon, and T loops). The record is from RNAcentral. Lineage: Eukaryota; Metazoa; Arthropoda; Insecta; Blattodea; Termitidae.